RNAcentral lists this long non-coding RNA (409 nucleotides) under Homo sapiens (human). RNAcentral's name for it is "HSALNT0403765". Lineage: Eukaryota; Metazoa; Chordata; Mammalia; Primates; Hominidae. The record is from RNAcentral.
UUUUCCCCAAGGGAGAUGAUGCCUGGAGCUGUGAAACAAAUCCUGAGCCACGGGAUGAGUGUAGACUUGAGACUCCAGAGUUUGGGAUCCUGGUCCAGAUCAUGCCACUGCUUACCAAGUAGGGUCCUGCCUACCAUAAUCCAGGAGGUGGUCUUCCAGACAUUAAAUAGGAUCAUGAAAUCAAUGGCGUGAGCCUUCACAAUACCAUAAAACUGAAGACAUGUAAAUCUGCUCAUGUAAAUCCUCCACUGCAUAGCCUUUUGUGUGGAGCAUUUAUCCGGACUGAUGGCAAAAACUGUGAGUACUUUUCAAUAACAACAACUGAGGUAUUUUGAUGGGGCAUUUACUGGCUUGCUAUGGAAUAUUAACUAAAGCUACCUCUAUAUUAAUGGAAAUAAUGUUUCCCAAA